GGUCAAGCAAUUAAGCGUACGUGGUGGAUGCCUUGGCAGCCAGAGGCGAUGAAGGACGUGGUAGGCAACGAAAUGCUUCGGGGAGCCGUCAAACAGGCUUUGAUCCGGAGGUGUCCGAAUGGGGAAACCCGGCCCACUUGUGGGUCAUCCCUUACUGAAUACAUAGGUAAGGGAGGCGAACGCAGGGAACUGAAACAUCUAAGUACCUGCAGGAAAAGAAAUCAAUUGAGAUUCCCUAAGUAGCGGUGAGCGAACGGGGAAAAGCCCUUAAGCAACAGCAGUGUUAGUGGAACGGUCUGGAAAGUCCGGCGACAGUGGGUGAUAGCCCCGUACACGAAAGCACUGCAGUUGUGAAAACGAGUAGGUCGAAACACGUGUAAUUUUGACUGAAGAUGGGGGGACCAUCCUCCAAGGCUAAAUACUCCUGGCUGACCGAUAGUGAACUAGUACCGUGAGGGAAAGGCGAAAAGAACCCCGGAGAGGGGAGUGAAAUAGACCCUGAAACCGCGUACGUACAAGCAGUCGGAGCAGGCAUUGCGUCCUGUGACGGCGUACCUUUUGUAUAAUGGGUCAGCGAGUUAAUGUCAGUAGCAAGGUUAACCGUAUAGGGGAGCCGUAGGGAAACCGAGUCUUAACUGGGCGUUUAGUUGCUGGCAUUAGACCCGAAACCGGGCGAUCUACCCAUGGCCAGGUUGAAGGUGCCGUAACAGGCACUGGAGGACCGAACCGGGAUCUGUUGAAAAAGAUUCGGAUGAGCUGUGGGUCGGAGUGAAAGGCUAAUCAAGCUCGGAGAUAGCUGGUUCUCCUCGAAAGCUAUUUAGGUAGCGCCUCGUGGAAUUGACUGCUGGGGGUAGAGCACUGUUUCGGCUAGGGGGUCAUCCCGACUUACCAACCCGAUGCAAACUCCGAAUACCAGUAAGUUUUAUCACGGGAGACAGACGGCGGGUGCUAACGUCAGUCGUCAAGAGGGAAACAACCCAGACCGCCAGCUAAGGUCCCAAAUAUCAGUUAAGUGGGAAACGAUGUGGGAAGGCUUAGACAGCUAGGAGGUUGGCUUAGAAGCAGCCAUCCUUUAAAGAAAGCGUAAUAGCUCACUAGUCGAGUCGGCCUGCGCGGAAGAUAUAACGGGGCUCAAACUGAUAACCGAAGCUGCGGAUGUGUGCUUAGGCACAUAUGGUAGAGGAGCGUUGUGUAGGCCGUUGAAGGUGAAUCGAGAGGUUUGCUGGAGGUAUCACAAGUGCGAAUGCUGACAUGAGUAACGAUAAGGGGGGUGAAAAACCUCCCCGCCGGAAGAUCAAGGUUUCCUGUCCAACGUUAAUCGGGACAGGGUGAGUCGGCCCCUAAGGCGAGAGCGAAAGCUGUAGUCGAUGGGAAAUCGGUUAACAUUCCGAUACCGGCUGUUACUGCGAUGGAGGGACGGAGAAGGCUAGGCCAGCGCGGCGUUGGUUGUCCGCGUUUAAGGUAGUAGGCUGGGAUUUUAGGUAAAUCCGGAAUCCUAAGGCCGAGAGCUGAUGACGAGCUUACUUUUAAGUGAGCGAAGUGGUUGAUGCCAUGCUUCCAGGAAAAACUUCUAAGCUUCAGGUAACAGACGACCGUACUGUAAACCGACACAGGUGAUCAGGUAGAGAAUACCAAGGCGCUUGAGAGAACUUGGGUGAAGGAACUAGGCAAAAUGGUACCGUAACUUCGGGAGAAGGUACGCUCCUUUUGGUGAAGCAUUUACUGCGUAAGCUAAGAGGAGUCGAAGUGACCAGGUGGCUGCAACUGUUUAUUAAAAACACAGCACUCUGCAAACACGUAAGUGGAAGUAUAGGGUGUGACGCCUGCCCGGUGCCGGAAGGUUAAUUGAUGGGGUUAGCUUCGGCGAAGCUCUUGAUCGAAGCCCCGGUAAACGGCGGCCGUAACUAUAACGGUCCUAAGGUAGCGAAAUUCCUUGUCGGGUAAGUUCCGACCUGCACGAAUGGCGUAAUGAUGGCCACGCUGUCUCCACCCAAGACUCAGUGAAAUUGAAAUCGCUGUUAAGAUGCAGUGUACCCGCGGCUAGACGGAAAGACCCCGUGAACCUUUACUAUAGCUUCACACUGGACUUUGACACUAUCUGUGUAGGAUAGGUGGGAGACUUUGAAGCGCUAGCGCUAGCUAGCGUGGAGUCGCCCUUGAAAUACCACCCUGGUAUUGUUGAGGUUCUAACUCAGUCCCUGAAACGGGGACGAGGACCGUGUGUGGUGGGUAGUUUGACUGGGGCGGUCUCCUCCCAAAGCGUAACGGAGGAGCACGAAGGUACCCUAAGGGCGGUCGGAAAUCGCCCAUUUAGUGUAAUGGCAUAAGGGUGCUUGACUGCGAGAGCGACGGCUCGAGCAGGUGCGAAAGCAGGUCAUAGUGAUCCGGUGGUUCUGAAUGGAAGGGCCAUCGCUCAACGGAUAAAAGGUACUCCGGGGAUAACAGGCUGAUACCGCCCAAGAGUUCACAUCGACGGCGGUGUUUGGCACCUCGAUGUCGGCUCAUCACAUCCUGGGGCUGAAGCCGGUCCCAAGGGUAUGGCUGUUCGCCAUUUAAAGUGGUACGCGAGCUGGGUUUAGAACGUCGUGAGACAGUUCGGUCCCUAUCUGCCGUGGGCGUUGGAGAUUUGAGAGGAGCUGCUCCUAGUACGAGAGGACCGGAGUGGACGUUCCUCUGGUGUUCCGGUUGUCACGCCAGUGGCAUUGCCGGGUAGCUAUGAACGGACAGGAUAACCGCUGAAAGCAUCUAAGCGGGAAGCCUCCCUCAAGACGAGAUCUCCCUGGGGCCUUGUGCCCCCUAAAGUGCCGUUCGAGACCAGGACGUUGAUAGGCUGGGUGUGUAAGGGUUGUGAGGCCUUGAGCUAACCAGUACUAAUUGCACGUGAGGCUUGACCAU
RNAcentral lists this ribosomal RNA (2895 nucleotides) under Pseudohongiella sp. SYSU M77423. RNAcentral's name for it is "23S ribosomal RNA". It matches the Rfam family "Bacterial large subunit ribosomal RNA". The record is from RNAcentral. Lineage: Bacteria; Pseudomonadati; Pseudomonadota; Gammaproteobacteria; Pseudomonadales; Pseudohongiellaceae.